Molecule: ribosomal RNA, 465 nt
Filed under: uncultured bacterium
Lineage: Bacteria
Description: partial 16S ribosomal RNA
Rfam family: Bacterial small subunit ribosomal RNA
Source: RNAcentral
CCUACGGGAGGCAGCAGUAGGGAAUCUUCCACAAUGGGCGAAAGCCUGAUGGAGCAACGCCGCGUGGGUGAAGAAGGUCUUCGGAUCGUAAAACCCUGUUGUUAGAGAAGAAAGUGCGUGAGAGUAACUGUUCACGUUUCGACGGUAUCUAACCAGAAAGCCACGGCUAACUACGUGCCAGCAGCCGCGGUAAUACGUAGGUGGCAAGCGUUAUCCGGAUUUAUUGGGCGUAAAGGGAACGCAGGCGGUCUUUUAAGUCUGAUGUGAAAGCCUUCGGCUUAACCGGAGUAGUGCAUUGGAAACUGGCAGACGUGAGUGCAGAAGAGGAGAGUGGAACUCUAUGUGUAGCGGUGAAAUGCGUAGAUAUAUGGAAGAACACCAGUGGCGAAAGCGGCUCUCUGGUCUGUAACUGACGCUGAGGUUCGAAAGCGUGGGUAGCAAACAGGAUUAGAUACCCUUGUAGUC